This 275-nucleotide ribosomal RNA is filed under the name uncultured bacterium. RNAcentral's name for it is "partial 16S ribosomal RNA". It matches the Rfam family "Bacterial small subunit ribosomal RNA", at positions 338 to 625 of the family's 1533-position model. The record is from RNAcentral.
CCUACGGGUGGCUGCAGUCGAGGAUCUUCGGCAAUGGGCGAAAGCCUGACCGAGCGAGACCGCGUGUGCGAUGAAGGCCUUCGGGUUGUAAAGCACUGUCGAGGGGGAGAAAAGGCAACUUGAUCUAUCCCUGGAGGAAGCUCGGGCUAAGUUCGUGCCAGCAGCCGCGGUAAGACGAACCGAGCGAACGUUGUUCGGAAUCACUGGGCUUAAAGGGCGCGUAGGCGGGCUAUCAAGUCCGGGGUGAAAUCCUCCAGCUUAACUGGAGAACGGCC